GUGAAUCAUCAAAUUUUUGAACGCAAAUUGCACUCUCUUCGGAGAGUAUGCCUGUUUGAGGGUCAGUAUUUAAAAAAAUCGGUGUGUUGUUUCUUUGUGACGCUCCGGUGUUUGGGUCAUCUUUAUUUCAUUUAGGUUUUAAGAGGCUUAAAAUUGACUUUUUUUGCGCAUUUUAGAUGUAUAUAAAUUCUUUUGUUUAUUCGUCUGUCCUUAUGUUCAGAAUCCUAUUAGAUGC
RNAcentral lists this unclassified non-coding RNA (235 nucleotides) under Glomeraceae sp. RNAcentral's name for it is "partial contains 5.8S ribosomal RNA and internal transcribed spacer 2". The stretch from base 1 to 65 matches the Rfam family "5.8S ribosomal RNA", at positions 84 to 154 of the family's 154-position model. Lineage: Eukaryota; Fungi; Glomeromycota; Glomeromycetes; Glomerales; Glomeraceae. The record is from RNAcentral.